GCUGCACCUACAGGGCUGCACCUACAGGGCUGCACACUUCAGAGGACUUUUUAUAGACAGCGCCACCUACCGCAAUAGAUGAUCACUAACGUGCACAAUUUACGUUUUAAAUUGGUGAUUUCACUCAAAAUACACUUACAAUACAAAAGGCUUAUUCAGGAAGAAUUCCCCGUUCAUUUUAACCCCUGUCAGUUUUUCUACACAGCCGGAGGCUGCACUUUCAGGAACACACUGAUAGGACCGCAGUUUAAGGGCCGCCAACUUCUUCUCGGGCCCCGUUGUUCGUGUUUCCCACUGUGUUGAUGCUAAACGAAGUAGCAGCAUUUAUCGCCAUGAUGGACGACGGUAACCAUAUGGACAUCCCUUUGAUAGAGAAGUGGUGGUGUCUUCUUCCCAUGGAGCGUUUCCAAACAGAGGGGAUGUACUUAGUGGCAAACACUCUACUUGGAUUCAUCAGAAACCUUGUUGCCAGAUGCCUGUCUACCUGGAUAGUGAGGAACAACAGGACAAGCUUUUUGCAUUCUUAAAGACUGUACUGCACAGAGGACCACAACACAACUGAGCUUCACAGAUGAAGUUGUGUUCAUCUUUGAUGUUCUCUUUCCAGAGGCCAUCAUAUAUGGCCUGUCUAUGCAGGACAAUCUGCCCCUGCAUGAGGCUGAGCAGGUCUUCUUCAGUGGUCCAGCUUACCAUCAAAGUGAAGUGGAGGAGUUUUGUCAAAGGAUUUAAAAAGACCUGAAGAAAGAAGGCAGACUGUUCAGUUGAAGGAAGUGAGAUCAGAGGUUUAGCAGCGGGAGUCAUAGACUUCACUUACUUGUGUGUGCGUGCGUGCGUGCGUGCGUGCGUGCGUGCGUGCGUGCGUGCGUGCGUGCGUGCGUGCGUGCGUGCGUGCGUGCGCGCGUGCGUGCGUGCGUGCGUGCGUGCGUGCGUGCGUGUGUGCGCGCGUGCGUGUGAGAGAGAGGCACUGGAGAAGGUUAGUGAACACAGUGAAACAGAAAUGUGUAUGUGUGUUUGUCUGCAGACAUUGCGUGUUGAGUUGUUUUAUGUGUCCUUGUAAUGAGAAUAAAGAGUUUUUCUCGCAUUUUGCUUUGGAGAGAUGCCAGUAAUUGUCAUUGUCCUGCUGAAGGUGGCAACUGACAUCAAGGACUGCUGGGAAAUGGGGGUUAGAUGGGUGGGGGGGGUGCCUGACUCGCAAUGUUUAGGUACAUGGUACAUGUCAAACAUCCACAUGAAUGUUAGGACUCAAAGUUUCUCAGCAGAUUAUUGCAUUGUAACAGGAUGAUUGAUGUUAUUCACUUCACCUGUCAGUGGUCAUAAUGUUGUGGCUGAUUGAUGUAUGUCCUGACAGAGCUGCAUUACAUGCAAGAGGUGGAAACAGUAACCUGCUGAUUUCAUGCACAUGUUCUGGUUGUACCAACAACUAUCAGAGUUUAUACAUGCAAUAUUUAACACACUAAACUCAAAUCCAGUUAUUUAUAUGCCACCAUUGUGUCCAGGUUUUGUCCAGUCUGCUGGUAUCUGUGGCUCCAUGGGUGCACAUUUGUGGUCAGUUUGGUCCAUAUCCACAAAACUCACCAUCAUUCAGCAAACAACUUUUGCAGCACUUUGCUUCACUUUACAUUCAUCUUUGGAUUGACCGUGUCUUUAGAUUCAAAUAUCUGCUGUUUAGAGUGAUGAAAGAAUUGUGUAUUGCUCUCACCAUAAGCUAAACAAAGCUUACAUGACUUUCAGUCUCAGUUGGAAGCACAAUAUAAGCUGUAUAUAAAUUACAACGUUAGCUCUGUUAAGCUUGCUCAUGUAUAUGCCACUUAUUCAAAGUUUAUCUUGAUUGCAAGUGCUGUAUUCACAGUUUCUGCUUAAAAACUGCAUGUUCAAUAAUAUUUAGAUUUUAUGCUAUUGCAUAAACGGUUGCAUUUGUAGAGAAUGUGUCUAACCAUCAGACCAUUUACAUGUUAUCCAAAUGACCCAAAAUAGUUAUAAGGCUUUUAUCUUAUUUGAGCCAAAAGAUGUAUUUAAUUACAAUUUGUAAAACCUCAUCAUGCUCUUGUCUUUCUAUGGUGAUGAAAUUCAGAUUUAAUAUAAAAGAAAUAGCUUCAAGGCUGUACUUGAUUCACAUUCACCAUCCCUGCUAAUAACCUGCAACAACAUACUGAGUAUAAGUCACAUUUUGGAGCUGUACUUUAUCUGGCUGUUGCUGGUGUACACUGUUGUCCUCUGGAUGUUAUUAGUUUUUAAAGGGAACUUGUAGCUUUUUCUUUAAUGGUCAAAUUGUUUUUUUUUCUUUGCUAUUUUGUGUCUUGUAUUCAGUUGUAUUUGUGUCAUUGUGUGAAGUAUGGCUGUCAUUGUAAGGAUCUCCUUCCCACAGUAGAUGUGUCAAUUGCCCAGCAGGAUCAUACCUGCUUGGGUGGCUGUAUUUUUCUUCUGUAUUCUGUAGUGCUUUAAAAAAAAAAAAAGAUGUUUAUUGUGAUUUGGACUAGUUGCUUUUGUACUUGCUUGCUGAUGUCUGUAAAGUUGAAUGGGGGAGUUCAUUCCAGAGGAAAAGUGGAGGAACUACUAAUGUGAAGAUUGAAUAUUAAGAUGUACUACUUGUUAGAUGUGUUCCACAUCACUAUGUAUGUUAUUUUCUAUGUUUUGCAUGACAUGCAGGUAAUUGGAAUGAUUUAUGUUGUCUGGAUGUUGUCAUUAAAC
Molecule: long non-coding RNA, 2688 nt
Organism: Amphiprion ocellaris (clown anemonefish)
Lineage: Eukaryota; Metazoa; Chordata; Actinopteri; Pomacentridae
Source: Ensembl